UCUCUCCAUUCCGCGUGCUCCCU
This 23-nucleotide microRNA is filed under the name Pristionchus pacificus. RNAcentral describes it as "ppc-miR-8364u-5p". The record is from miRBase by way of RNAcentral. Lineage: Eukaryota; Metazoa; Nematoda; Chromadorea; Rhabditida; Neodiplogasteridae.